GGCCGUGGCCGGGAGGGCCUUUGCACAACUAAAACUUGUGCACCAGCUGCGACCAUACCUCGAGAAGUCUGAUCUGACCAGGGUGGUCCAUGCCUUAGUUACCUCUACACUGGACUAUUGCAAUGCGCUCUACGUGGGGCUGCCUUUGAAGACGGCCCGGAAAUUACAACUAGUACAGCGUUCGGCAGCCAGGCUUCUAACCGGAGUGAAUUACAGGGCGCGUUCAACGCCUCUCUUUAAGGAGCUUCACUGGCUGCCAUUUACUUUCCGGGCCCAAUUCAAGGUGCAAAGCCCUAAACGGUUUGGGACCCUCCUACCUUAGAGACCGCAUCUCCCUCUAUGAACCCACACGUUCUCUUCGCUCGUUGGGGGAGGCCCUUCUCUCGCUCUCACCACCCUCACAGUCACGGUUGGUGGGGACGAGAGAGAGGGCCUUCUCCGUCAUGGCCCCCCGGCUUUGGAACUCUCUACCUAGAGAGAUCAGGCAGGCCCCUACCCUCCUCUCCUUCUGGAAGAGCUUAAAAACCUGGCUGUUUCAAAAGACCUUAGAUGUUUAGUUGUUGCUGGAUUGAUUUAUCUGUCCAUUCCAUAAUAGUCCCAUUGUUUUUGUCUUGCCAUUUUAUACCGCACUUUAUUGUCCAACUGUGAAAUUUCCUUUUCCCAUUUCGUAUCACUCUGCAUUUCGCCUGGGAUCUACGAAUUAGUCUCCUGUUUUUAACACUGUAUCCUGCUUGUUGAUUUUAAUGAUUGUUUUUAUUGAUGUUGAUGUUUUUUACUGGGAUAAUUGUUUUAUUGCUUUGUUACUGUUUUGUUUGUUUUAUCGGGCCUGGCCCCAUGUAAGCCGCCCUGAGUCCCUUCGGGGAGAUGGGGCGGGGUAUAAAAAUAAAGUUAUUAUUAUUAUUAUUAUCGUUUGGUCUAAAACAACUCUCUGAAUUCUAUUUUAAUCUGCAGGGAGACUGCUAGUUUAAGAGUCAGUGCUACCCUAUUAAAGUGCAACUUUAUUCUUGCUGUUAGAUAAAUUUGAUCAUAUUUG
This 1033-nucleotide long non-coding RNA is filed under the name Anolis carolinensis (green anole). RNAcentral describes it as "lncRNA (ENSACAG00000039010.1)". The record is from RNAcentral. Lineage: Eukaryota; Metazoa; Chordata; Lepidosauria; Squamata; Anolidae.